UACGGGGGGAGCAAGCGUUGUUCGGAUUUACUGGGCGUAAAGGGCGCGUAGGCGGCGUGACAAGUCACUUGUGAAAUCUCCGGGCUUAACUCGGAACGGUCAAGUGAUACUGUCGUGCUAGAGUACAGAAGGGGCAACUGGAAUUCUCGGUGUAGCGGUGAAAUGCGCAGAUAUCAGGAGGAACACCCGUAGCGAAGGCGGCACUCUGGGCCGAUACUGACACUGAGGAGCGAAAGCGUGGGGAGCGAACAGG
Molecule: ribosomal RNA, 253 nt
Filed under: uncultured bacterium
Lineage: Bacteria
Description: partial 16S ribosomal RNA
Rfam family: Bacterial small subunit ribosomal RNA
Source: RNAcentral